AGACAUACAUUCAUACUGACAUACAUAUACACAAAUACCUAAUGACAUAUAGACAUACAUUCAUAUAUACAUAGAUACUGGCAUACAUACAUACUGACAGACAUACUGAGACAUACAUAAUGACAUACAUUGAUACAUGCAUACAUACAGACAUACAUUCAUAAUGACAUACAUAAUAACAUACAUACUGACAGACAUACAGACAUACAUUCAUAAUGACAUACAUACAUACAGACAUACAUAAUGACAUACAGACAGACAUGCAUGCAUGCAUACAGACAUGCAUGCAUAAAGACAGACACACUGAC
This is a non-coding RNA of Pelobates cultripes (western spadefoot toad), 308 nucleotides long. The record is from the annotation of a GenBank genome assembly. NCBI's taxonomy places the organism in Eukaryota, Metazoa, Chordata, Amphibia, Anura, Pelobatidae.